This 371-nucleotide ribosomal RNA is filed under the name Streptomyces sp. WPS107. RNAcentral describes it as "bacterial SSU rRNA". It matches the Rfam family "Bacterial small subunit ribosomal RNA", at positions 97 to 481 of the family's 1533-position model. The record is from RNAcentral. Lineage: Bacteria; Bacillati; Actinomycetota; Actinomycetes; Kitasatosporales; Streptomycetaceae.
GGCGAACGGGUGAGUAACACGUGGGCAAUCUGCCCUGCACUCUGGGACAAGCCCUGGAAACGGGGUCUAAUACCGGAUACUGAUCCUUCUGGGCAUCCAGAGGGUUCGAAAGCUCCGGCGGUGCAGGAUGAGCCCGCGGCCUAUCAGCUUGUUGGUGAGGUAAUGGCUCACCAAGGCGACGACGGGUAGCCGGCCUGAGAGGGCGACCGGCCACACUGGGACUGAGACACGGCCCAGACUCCUACGGGAGGCAGCAGUGGGGAAUAUUGCACAAUGGGCGCAAGCCUGAUGCAGCGACGCCGCGUGAGGGAUGACGGCCUUCGGGUUGUAAACCUCUUUCAGCAGGGAAGAAGCGAGAGUGACGGUACCUG